AUGCUCACUUUGACAGCACAUAUACUAAAAUUAGAAUGAUAGAAAAUUAGUAUGACCCAUGUUCAAAGAUAAUACUCAAAUUGAUGAAGUAAUCUGUAUUUUU
This 103-nucleotide small nuclear RNA is filed under the name Dasypus novemcinctus (nine-banded armadillo). The record is from RNAcentral. Lineage: Eukaryota; Metazoa; Chordata; Mammalia; Cingulata; Dasypodidae.